GGGAGGAGAGGGAAGGGGAAGAAGGAGCUCUCACUAGAGACUUCUGGCUCCUUAAGACAGGCUCUUGACCCCCCUGGGUGGCCCACUGCUCCUCCCAGAGCAGCUCAAAGAGGACCGGCUGUGAAGAGGGAUGGCACGGGAUUGGGAGCUUUCAAUGAGCUGGAGCGAGGGAAGCUAAUCUCAGAGCGCACCUCUUCCAGGAAGUCUGCCAAGAGGAGGAGUGUCAAUGAGUUUCCAUUAGUCUUCAUUCCGGUUUCAGGCGAGGCGCAUGGACAUCUUUGAUUAAGGGAUCCCAUUCCAGGUCCAAAGUUGGGAAGGAUAUGUGUCUUCUAACCUGGACCUUUUCAUGGAGGACAGGGCUUCUGAGACGGGGCCCAGACACAGCUGGAUGGAUGUGUCAGAUCUUCAAAUGUGGUUGAUGGUCCCUUUUAUCACCUGGGUAUGGCUGUCGCAUGCGUAUUGUGAUUUUCAC
This 472-nucleotide long non-coding RNA is filed under the name Equus caballus (horse). RNAcentral describes it as "lncRNA (ENSECAG00000052226.1)". Lineage: Eukaryota; Metazoa; Chordata; Mammalia; Perissodactyla; Equidae. The record is from RNAcentral.